AUUGAACGCUGGCGGCAUGCCUUACACAUGCAAGUCGAACGGUAACAGGUCUUCGGAUGCUGACGAGUGGCGAACGGGUGAGUAAUACAUCGGAACGUGCCUAGUAGGGGGGGAUAACUACUCGAAAGAGUGGCUAAUACCGCAUGAGAUCUACGGAUGAAAGCAGGGGAUCGCAAGACCUUGUGCUACUAGCGCGGCCGAUGGAAGAUUAGGUAGUUGGUGGGAUAAAAGCUUACCAAGCCGACGAUCUGUAGCUGGUCUGAGAGGACGAUCAGCCACACUGGGACUGAGACACGGCCCAGACUCCUACGGGAGGCAGCAGUGGGGAAUUUUGGACAAUGGGCGAAAGCCUGAUCCAGCAAUGCCGCGUGCAGGAUGAAGGCCUUCGGGUUGUAAACUGCUUUUGUACGGAACGAAAAGCCCCGGGUUAAUACCCUGGGGUCAUGACGGUACCGUAAGAAUAAGCACCGGCUAACUACGUGCCAGCCGCCGCCGUAA
RNAcentral lists this ribosomal RNA (498 nucleotides) under uncultured bacterium. RNAcentral describes it as "partial 16S ribosomal RNA". It matches the Rfam family "Bacterial small subunit ribosomal RNA", at positions 30 to 523 of the family's 1533-position model. The record is from RNAcentral.